RNAcentral lists this small RNA (162 nucleotides) under Mytilus galloprovincialis (Mediterranean mussel). The record is from RNAcentral. Lineage: Eukaryota; Metazoa; Mollusca; Bivalvia; Mytilida; Mytilidae.
UUUGACACAUUUCCCAUUUCCAUUCUCAAUUUUAAUUAACAGUUCGUGACUGUUUAUCACAAAUGAAUAUACGGUCAAUGCUAUUUGAUAUCGCAUAUUUCACAGUUAGAAUAUAUAUAUAUUCAUCAUAAAAUUGAGAAUGGAAAUGGGGAAUGUGUCAAA